GACGAACGCUGGCGGCGUGCUUAACACAUGCAAGUCGAACGGAAAGGCCCUGCUUUUGUGGGGUGCUCGAGUGGCGAACGGGUGAGUAACACGUGAGUAACCUGCCCUUGACUUUGGGAUAACUUCAGGAAACUGGGGCUAAUACCGGAUAGGAGCUCCUGCUGCAUGGUGGGGGUUGGAAAGUUUCGGCGGUUGGGGAUGGACUCGCGGCUUAUCAGCGUGUUGGUGGGGUAGUGGCUUACCAAGGCUUUGACGGGUAGCCGGCCUGAGAGGGUGACCGGCCACAUUGGGACUGAGAUACGGCCCAGACUCCUACGGGAGGCAGCAGUGGGGAAUAUUGCACAAUGGGCGGAAGCCUGAUGCAGCAACGCCGCGUGCGGGAUGACGGCCUUCGGGUUGUAAACCGCUUUCGCCUGUGACGAAGCGUGAGUGACGGUAAUGGGGAAAGAAGCACCGGCUAACUACGUG
Molecule: ribosomal RNA, 468 nt
Filed under: uncultured bacterium
Lineage: Bacteria
Description: partial 16S ribosomal RNA
Rfam family: Bacterial small subunit ribosomal RNA
Source: RNAcentral